UCCGGGGGGGGCAAGCGUUGUUCGGAAUUACUGGGGGUAAAGGGCUCGUAGGCGGCCAACUAAGUCGGAUGUGAAAUCCCCAGGCUCAACUUGGGAACUGCAUCCGAUACUGGAUGGCUUGAAUUCGGGAGAGGGAUGCAGAAUUCCAGGUGUAGCGGUGAAAUGCGUAGAUAUCUGGAGGAACACCUGUGGCGAAAGCGGCGCACUGGACCACAACUGACGCUGAGGCGCGAAAGCUAGGGGAGCAAACAGG
RNAcentral lists this ribosomal RNA (253 nucleotides) under uncultured bacterium. Its description in RNAcentral is "partial 16S ribosomal RNA". It matches the Rfam family "Bacterial small subunit ribosomal RNA", at positions 524 to 776 of the family's 1533-position model. The record is from RNAcentral.